RNAcentral lists this transfer RNA (75 nucleotides) under Acidobacteriota bacterium. Its description in RNAcentral is "Acidobacteria bacterium tRNA-Val". It matches the Rfam family "tRNA". From Rfam's summary of the family: Transfer RNA (tRNA) molecules are approximately 80 nucleotides in length. Their secondary structure includes four short double-helical elements and three loops (D, anti-codon, and T loops). Lineage: Bacteria; Pseudomonadati; Acidobacteriota. The record is from RNAcentral.
GGGCGCUUAGCUCAGUGGUGGAGCGCUGCCUUCACACGGCAGAGGUCACAGGUUCGAGCCCUGUAGCGCCCACCA